UACGUAGGGCGCAAGCGUUAUCCGGAAUUAUUGGGCGUAAAAAAGCUCGUAGGCGGUUUGUCGCGUCUGCCGUGAAAAGUCCGGGGCUCAACUCCGGAUCUGCGGUGGGUACGGGCAGACUAGAGUGAUGUAGGGGGAGACUGGAAUUCCUGGUGUAGCGGUGAAAUGCGCAGAUAUCAGGAGGAACACCGAUGGCGAAGGCAGGUCUCUGGGCAUUAACUGACGCUGAGGAGCGAAAGCAUGGGGAGCGAACAGG
Molecule: ribosomal RNA, 256 nt
Filed under: uncultured bacterium
Lineage: Bacteria
Description: partial 16S ribosomal RNA
Rfam family: Bacterial small subunit ribosomal RNA
Source: RNAcentral